Molecule: ribosomal RNA, 480 nt
Filed under: Exiguobacterium sp. TWD1.2A
Lineage: Bacteria; Bacillati; Bacillota; Bacilli; Caryophanales
Description: bacterial SSU rRNA
Rfam family: Bacterial small subunit ribosomal RNA
Source: RNAcentral
AGGCAGCAGUAGGGAAUCUUCCACAAUGGACGAAAGUCUGAUGGAGCAACGCCGCGUGAACGAUGAAGGCUUUCGGGUCGUAAAGUUCUGUUGUAAGGGAAGAACAAGUGCCGCAGGCAAUGGCGGCACCUUGACGGUACCUUGCGAGAAAGCCACGGCUAACUACGUGCCAGCAGCCGCGGUAAUACGUAGGUGGCAAGCGUUGUCCGGAAUUAUUGGGCGUAAAGCGCGCGCAGGCGGCCUCUUAAGUCUGAUGUGAAAGCCCCCGGCUCAACCGGGGAGGGCCAUUGGAAACUGGGAGGCUUGAGUAUAGGAGAGAAGAGUGGAAUUCCACGUGUAGCGGUGAAAUGCGUAGAGAUGUGGAGGAACACCAGUCGCGAAGGCGACUCUUUGGCCUAUAACUGACGCUGAGGCGCGAAAGCGUGGGGAGCAAACAGGAUUAGAUACCCGGGUAGUCCACGCCGUAAACGAUGAGUGCUA